RNAcentral lists this ribosomal RNA (406 nucleotides) under uncultured bacterium. RNAcentral's name for it is "bacterial SSU rRNA". It matches the Rfam family "Bacterial small subunit ribosomal RNA", at positions 509 to 916 of the family's 1533-position model. The record is from RNAcentral.
CAGCAGCCGCGGUAAUACGGAGGGUGCAAGCGUUAUCCGGAUUUACUGGGUUUAAAGGGAGCGUAGGCGGGCAGUUAAGUCAGUGGUGAAAUCUCUGGGCUUAACCCGGAAACUGCCAUUGAUACUAUCUGUCUUGAAUAUUCUGGAGGUAAGCGGAAUAUGUCAUGUAGCGGUGAAAUGCUUAGAUAUGACAUAGAACACCCAUUGCGAAGGCAGCUUACUUCGGGAUUAUUGACGCUGAGGCUCGAAAGCGUGGGGAUCAAACAGGAUUAGAUACCCUGGUAGUCCACGCCCUAAACGAUGAUUACUCGACAUUAGCGAUAUUACUGUUAGUGUCUAAGCGAAAGCAUUAAGUAAUCCACCUGGGAAGUACGACCGCAAGGUUGAAACUCAAAGGAAUUGACGG